RNAcentral lists this ribosomal RNA (414 nucleotides) under Vibrio sp. 1E02. Its description in RNAcentral is "bacterial LSU rRNA". It matches the Rfam family "Bacterial large subunit ribosomal RNA", at positions 162 to 624 of the family's 2925-position model. Lineage: Bacteria; Pseudomonadati; Pseudomonadota; Gammaproteobacteria; Vibrionales; Vibrionaceae. The record is from RNAcentral.
AUACAUAGCAACUGGAGGCAAACCGGGGGAACUGAAACAUCUAAGUACCCCGAGGAAGAGAAAUCAACCGAGAUUCCGAAAGUAGCGGCGAGCGAAAUUGGAUUAGCCCUUAAGCUUUUAAUGAUGCAGGUGAAGAGUCUGGAAAGUCUCGCAAUAAAGGGUGAUAGCCCCGUAACCGACACAUCAUAAUCAGUGAAAUCGAGUAGGGCGGGACACGUGAUAUCCUGUCUGAAUAUGGGGGGACCAUCCUCCAAGGCUAAAUACUACUGACUGACCGAUAGUGAACCAGUACCGUGAGGGAAAGGCGAAAAGAACCCCUGUGAGGGGAGUGAAAUAGAACCUGAAACCGUGUACGUACAAGCAGUAGGAGCACCUUCGUGGUGUGACUGCGUACCUUUUGUAUAAUGGGUCAGC